UGUAUCGGAACGUGCCCAGUCGUGGGGGAUAACUGCUCGAAAGAGCAGCUAAUACCGCAUACGACCUGAGGGUGAAAGCGGGGGAUCGCAAGACCUCGCGCGAUUGGAGCGGCCGAUAUCAGAUUAGGUAGUUGGUGAGGUAAAGGCUCACCAAGCCGACGAUCUGUAGCUGGUCUGAGAGGACGACCAGCCACACUGGGACUGAGACACGGCCCAGACUCCUACGGGAGGCAGCAGUGGGGAAUUUUGGACAAUGGGCGCAAGCCUGAUCCAGCCAUGCCGCGUGCGGGAAGAAGGCCUUCGGGUUGUAAACCGCUUUUGUCAGGGAAGAAAAGGUUCUGGCUAAUACCUGGGACUCAUGACGGUACCUGAAGAAUAAGCACCGGCUAACUACGUG
Molecule: ribosomal RNA, 397 nt
Filed under: uncultured beta proteobacterium
Lineage: Bacteria; Pseudomonadati; Pseudomonadota; Betaproteobacteria
Description: bacterial SSU rRNA
Rfam family: Bacterial small subunit ribosomal RNA
Source: RNAcentral